UUGAAAGGGAAACGAUUGAAGUUAGUCGUACCUGUGGGUAAUCAGCCUUUUGGGUGUGAUUUUGUGGAGUGUGAGGAGUUAAACGCCUUCAUGCCUGCAUAUUCGUGCACUUUGGGUGUAUUUACCCGUGUGGUAAGUUAACAUCAAUUUCGGUGGUCAUAAAAUGGCUGGAGGAAUGUAGCUUCGAUCUUGUAUUGAAGUGUUAUAGCCUUCGGUAGAUGUGAUGAUCGGGAUUGAGGAUUGCAACGGAUACCCUUCGGGGCUACCUGUCUGAUCUCUGAUCGUUGCUCUGGUGCCGAAAGCUUGCUUACGGAUAUCAAAGUCGAUGGUCAAUAGGUUAGAACGGGUUAAAUUCGUUAAGGAUGUUGACGUA
This 373-nucleotide ribosomal RNA is filed under the name uncultured Glomeromycotina. Its description in RNAcentral is "LSU rRNA". The record is from RNAcentral. Lineage: Eukaryota; Fungi; Glomeromycota.